GAAAGUUAUCUGCUGAAAAUGGCUGUUCCUCUGACAUAAAAGAGAAAUGCAGAUGUUACACAUCCCUUUGAAGUAAAUAACCUUGUAAGUACUUUACCAAACAAUAACACGCGAUUAGCUCAAGACACAUUUAAGUCUUAUAAGCAUUAUACCUAACCCUAACUGGCAAAUCAAAUGCAUCGUGGCGGGCAACGAUCAAAGACGUAGAUUUAUUUUUUUUUUUUUUGGGGGGGGGGGGCAGUUUUCACCUAAAGAACCUCUACACUCCCUGGGUAGCAACAUAUAAACCUGCCCCCGGGGGACGGACCUGCGAGAAAAGAGAAAAUAGGCGAGCGGGUUUGUAUGUAAACUUAACUCACUGGAGACCUCGUAGCAUAACCAACCUUUAAUAUCAGACUAUAUCAACUAGUGGAAUUUAAUCGUCUCAUGUCGGAAGAAAAGUAGCUGAAUUAUCGCUAAUGAAGGCUUCCAUAUGUCAAACCCCAAGAUGUCACUGCCUGACCAUGCCUGUUGAAAUUAACUAGAAUGUCACCAGCUACAGCAGGCUAGCAAGUUCAUUCACAAGCUGUAGAGCACAGCACUGCAGUUUGCUAAUCGCUCUAUUUUUAUACCCUAUACUGACAUUAAGUGAAAAACAUAGGCCUAUUUUACUAACUACUUUACAUUAAGGCAAUUUGCACUGAUCACCAAAGCAGCUUCGUUCCUUAGAUUACUGCCAAAGAUGGUGAUAGGCUAUAUUUAAAAGAUAACAGUCAGCAAAAAGAGUCCGAAAAGGGAGAAGAAAGAUAUUUUUGUCUCUCUGUGGGGCUGGUUACUAUUGUGAUACUGUUUUUUUCCGUUUGUAUGGUUAAUUGUGUUUGUAUACCACUGCUGGAAGGGGGUAUGCGCCAUUUUUUUUGGUUGCCUCCUUUGUACCUGUUUUGAUGUAGUCAGGGAGAUAAGGGAGGGUAGCUGUAAGUGUUUUUACUUUCUUUAUUUUGGUAGGUAAGUGUAGUGUGUGUUGGGUGGAGGCAGUUUGGGGUUUCUCUUUGUUAUUUUGGCCGGCUUGCCCCUGGAGAUGCCCCUGGUAAAAUGGCCGCCACCUCAUUGUCAUUUACGUGUACUUUGACUAUGACUUAAGCUUAAUACAACCCAUCUAUGAAUACAGCCCAUUAACAGGGGCACAGCUGGGGUGCAAUGGCUGUUGCCUCAUUAAUCACAAGCGAUUUCCGUUUUCCGCGACCACACCCCCCGCUUGCUAGUGACCUGUGAUUGGACAGUGAUUACAUUUCCUAGUGGCACAAUUUUGGCAUGUGCUUUCCAAAACUGAGCUGAUGCAGCAGAGCAAAUAUUUGCAUUUUGGUGUGAUGUGGCCCAAUUUCAUCAAUAAACUGUGUGUAAUAUGAACC
This is a long non-coding RNA of Brienomyrus brachyistius, 1388 nucleotides long. RefSeq lists it as uncharacterized. The record is from RefSeq and is a predicted model, not a curated record. The transcript is spliced from 2 exons. Lineage: Eukaryota; Metazoa; Chordata; Actinopteri; Osteoglossiformes; Mormyridae.